UCUCCGUUUCUCUCUCCCCGAGCUCUCUCUCUCUCUCCUCUGCACCUCCGGCCACUUUUCGAUUCCAGCCACCUGGGAGCGAACCGCGACCACCGUUGGCUUCCUCUCCUCCUCCCGGACACGCCUGCGGUGGUAGCUCAUCGAGUCUUGGCCGGAAAAACGGCAAACCAAGGCCGAGAAGUUUACUGUAGCAAGUGACCGUUGACCUAAAUUCCGGCCACCUCCGGCGACAAAGCCAGGCUUUUUAGAAGCGCCUUGAGGCGUACUUGAAGCUCCCCAAAUAUCUUGAAGCGAUUUGCAGCGUGGAGGAAGAAAGCAUAAUUAGAAAAUUUUACUCUACUUCGGUUUGCUUAAUUGUUCGGCCACUUAGAGGUAUUUUCUGACUUGGCCACAGUUAUGAAAGACGCUUAGAAUGUUGAGUUGAUGAUGUUGGUAAAAUUUGGUAGCCAGAUAUGGUGGUUGAUCGGCGGCGCGUGGGGCCCAGGUGCAGUCGUCUGUGGCGGCGCGUGAGGGCGCGUCCGGCCGUUCCUGGGCGAUAUACCGAGUUAUUGCUCGAUGAAGGAAUUCGUAUACGUGAUCGCCUAAAUAGUACUUUUGCAGGCCAGUUUAGCUUGAGGUCGAGCGUACAUGGGGUUGAGGCAUAGCUGUCAUAGCUUCCGCAUUAUAAAAGUAUCGGUCCUUUAUCUUGUAUUAUAUUCUUUUGUACGCAUGUACAUUAGAUUGCUCUGAUAACCU
Molecule: long non-coding RNA, 735 nt
Organism: Rosa rugosa (rugosa rose)
Lineage: Eukaryota; Viridiplantae; Streptophyta; Magnoliopsida; Rosales; Rosaceae
Exons: 3
Source: RefSeq, a predicted model, not a curated record